RNAcentral lists this ribosomal RNA (877 nucleotides) under Disciotis sp. O76097. RNAcentral's name for it is "eukaryotic LSU rRNA". It matches the Rfam family "Eukaryotic large subunit ribosomal RNA", at positions 88 to 972 of the family's 3401-position model. The record is from RNAcentral. Lineage: Eukaryota; Fungi; Ascomycota; Pezizomycetes; Pezizales; Morchellaceae.
GGCGAGUGAAGCGGCAACAGCUCAAAUUUUAAAGCCGGCGUCCUCGACGCCCGCGUUGUAAUUUGGAGAGGCAUCUUCGGUUUGGGCGCCAGCCUAUGUUCCUUGGAACAGGACGUCACAGAGGGUGAGAAUCCCGUGCUUGGCUGGCUGUCCCUCUCCAUGUGAAGUGUCUUCGACGAGUCGAGUUGUUUGGGAAUGCAGCUCAAAAUGGGUGGUAAAUUUCAUCUAAAGCUAAAUAUUGGCGGGAGACCGAUAGCGCACAAGUAGAGUGAUCGAAAGAUGAAAAGCACUUUGAAAAUAGAGUUAAAAAGUACGUGAAAUUGUUGAAAGGGAAGCGCUUGAGACCAGACUCGGUCGGGGACGAUCAGCGGCCCUUCUGGGCCGUGCACUCGUCCUCGGUUCGGGCCAKCAUCGGUUGAGGCGGCGGGAUAAAGGCCCGGGGAAUGUGGCUCCUCUCGGGGAGUGUUAUAGCCUCGGGCGCAAUGCCGCCAGCCUCGACCGAGGACCGCGCUCUUUUGCUAGGAUGCUGGCGUAAUGGUCUUCAGCGACCCGUCUUGAAACACGGACCAAGGAGUCUAACAUCUAUGCGAGUGUUUGGGUGUCAAACCCUUGCGCGUAAUGAAAGUGAACGGAGGUGGGAACCCCUCCUCUGGGGGGGCGCACCAUCGACCGAUCCUGAUGUCUUCGGAUGGAUUUGAGUAGGAGCAUAGCUGUUGGGACCCGAAAGAUGGUGAACUAUGCCUGAAUAGGGUGAAGCCAGAGGAAACUCUGGUGGAGGCUCGCAGCGGUUCUGACGUGCAAAUCGAUCGUCAAAUUUGGGUAUAGGGGCGAAAGACUAAUCGAACCAUCUAGUAGCUGGUUCCUGCCGAAGUUYCCC